AGGGUCAUUGGAAACUGGGAGACUUGAGUGCAGAAGAGGCAGAGUGGAAUUUCCAUGUGUAGCGGUGAAAUGCGUAGAGAUAUGGAGGAACACCAGUGGCGAAGGCGACUUUCUGGUCUGUAACUGACACUGAGGCGCGAAAGCGUGGGGAGCAAACAGGAUUAGAUACCCCGGUAGUCCUCGCCGUAAACGAUGAGUGCUAAGUGUUAGAGGGUUUCCGCCCUUUAGUGCUGAAGUUAACGCAUUAAGCACUCCGCCUGGGGAGUACGGCCGCAAGGCUGAAACUCAAAGGAAUUGACGGGGGCCCGCACAAGCGGUGGAGCAUGUGGUUUAAUUCGAAGCAACGCGAAGAACCUUACCAGGUCUUGACAUCCUGUGAAAACCCUAGAGAUAGGGCUUCUCCUUCGGGAGCAGAGUGACAGGUGGUGCAUGGUCGUCGUCAGCUCGUGUCGUGAGAUGUUGGGUUAAGUCCCGCAACGAGCGCAACCCUUGAUCUUAGUUGCCAUCAUUAAGUUGGGCACUCUAAGGUGACUGCCGGUGACAAACCGGAGGAAGGUGGGGAUGACGUCAAAUCAUCAUGCCCCUUAUGACCUGGGCUACACACGUGCUACAAUGGACGGUACAAAGAGCUGCAAGACCGCGAGGUGGAGCUAAUCUCAUAAAACCGUUCUCAGUUCGGAUUGUAGGCUGCAACUCGCCUACAUGAAGCUGGAAUAGAUUGUAAUCGCGGCUCAGCAUGCCGCGGUGAAUACGUUCCCGGGCCUUGUACACACCGCCCGUCACACCACGAGAGUUUGUACACACCCGAAGUCGGUGGGGUAAC
RNAcentral lists this ribosomal RNA (823 nucleotides) under Bacillus cereus. RNAcentral's name for it is "bacterial SSU rRNA". It matches the Rfam family "Bacterial small subunit ribosomal RNA", at positions 619 to 1439 of the family's 1533-position model. Lineage: Bacteria; Bacillati; Bacillota; Bacilli; Caryophanales; Bacillaceae. The record is from RNAcentral.